This 591-nucleotide ribosomal RNA is filed under the name uncultured marine eukaryote. Its description in RNAcentral is "SSU rRNA". It matches the Rfam family "Eukaryotic small subunit ribosomal RNA", at positions 614 to 1209 of the family's 1831-position model. The record is from RNAcentral.
UGCGGUUAAAAAGCUCGUAGUUGGAUUUCUGCCUGAGGCAGCCGGUCCGCACCUAGUGCGUGUAUCUGGCUUGGUUUGGGCAUCCUCUUGGGGAUCGUUGCUGUGCUUAGUUGCAUGGUGCGGAAUUCAAGACGUUUACUUUGAGGAAAUUAGAGUGGUUACGGCAAGCUAUCGCUUUGAAUACAUUAGCAUGGAAUAAUAAUAUAGGGCGUAAGUUCUAUCUUGUUGGUUUCUAGGACAUACGCAAUGAUUAAUAGGGACAAUUGGGGGCAUUCGUAUUAACGCGUCAGAGGUGGAAUUCUUAGAUUGCGUUACGACGAACUACUGCGAAAGCAUUUGCCAAGGAUGUUUUCAUUGAUCAAGAACGAAAGUAUGGGGAUCGAAGACGAUUAGAUACCGUCGUAGUCUAUACCAUAAACUAUGCCAAUUAGAGAUUGGAGGUCGUUUAUUUUAUGACUCCUCCAGCACCUUAUGAGAAAUCAAAAUUUUUGGGUUCCGGGGGGAGUAUGGUCGCAAGGCUGAAACUUAAAGGAAUUGACGGAAGGGCACCACCAGGAGUGGAGCCUGCGGCUUAAUUUGACUCAACACGGG